UUAAGAAACUGAAAACGUAUAAUCAGGAAACAGUCCAUGGGUUCUUUCUUUUGCACCAGAAACUACUGGGGUGAGGGCUGGGCUUGAGAGAAGUGGUUCUUCCUUAGCACAUUUGCUUUGUUCUCAGCAUAUUUGUUUGAACAUUCAGACACCAUUAGGGAGUGCAUAAAGGUACAAACACCAUGCAAUCGUGCUGCUGUGGGCCACAAGUCUUACAAAAUAAAAUGCAGAUCAGUAACUCCAACUCUCACAAACUGUCAUUUAUCAGAAGAGACCACAGGAGUCAAAAACGAUACACUCUAACAACAGUGAUGUCCCCGGAAAGGGAGUACACAAGAGAGAAAUUAGCUUUAUUAUUAGGGUGAUGUGUUUUGGGACAAUUGAUUUUUUUUAUCUAUAAUAAUUCACUUGAUACCUCUGUUUUAAUUUUAGGUUAAAAAUACCAGCAUGGGUCCAUCCUUUGUUUGCCUAGAAGAAUCUUUGUAUUUGCCAAAAGGACAUUGCAUAGGAAGUUGGCCAACAGCAUGUUGAUUAGGACAGGCUGUGCAGAAGGGGCACUUAUCUUUAGGUCCCACAUGUCCACAUGACCCUCUAAUAUUACAAGUGUGAUAGUGCUUCCUCCAAGACACAGCUGUCUUCAGAUACAUGAUACAUAGAGCUUUCAAUGAGUUAAUAAAAUUCCAGGGGCAGGGAGAUAGCCCACACCUACAGACCCUGCAACUUGAACCUGCUGUGUUUCACUUUUCACACCUUUCUGCAAGAGUGAACUUGCUUACACUACAAAAUCAAAUACACACAGACACAUAUACACACACACACACCCCCUGACAUGAGAAAAAAACAGUAUCAUGCCUCAUGACUACUUAAAUUAUGGGUUACUCCAUUCUCUAUUAUUUCUAUGGAAAUGAAAUGUUUUGUUCAUAAAAUUAAAAUUAACAAAGAAAUAUUUUUCUCCCUUCUCCCUAAUUGUCUAAUAUCUAUAUGUUGAUGCUGCUCAUUGACUCUGAUAAAAUGGAGAAAGCAAGAGUCAGUGGAAGGAACACAUGCUAUGGUGCCAGAAAAGAUCUAGAGUAAUGCCAGAAGCCCAGCUCCUACUCACCACUACAUUGCCUUAGGUGGGGUUCUUGCUGAGAUCACCAUGAAUAAUCCAGGUGAAGACAGACUUGUGGCAAGCAGCAUCUUGCUGACCCAAGAUAAAUUGAGAAAUUCCCCCCAAGGAACAGGAAGAAACAAUCCUCUUAUUUGACUGCUCAACAAGGAAGCUUAAAGAAGAUACUUGUUCUUUGGAAUCUGUCGUCUACAGAUGAGAACAGCUAGCUAGGAGGCAAAGAGAAUUCUGAGGCUUAACUGAUCAUUCCAAAUGGAUAGCCAGAGCCAAGAGAUAUAUCAGGACUGAGUUAAGUCUGCCUGAGAUGGCAAUUCAUUGCUAUGCAUUCGCUGAUUUAUAAAACACAUUGUUAAGCACCUACUACUAAAAGCUACUGCAUUCCAGGCACUAUGCCAGACACUAGGGACACAGAGAUGAAAGACGUGGUCCCUGCCUUUGAGCUGUAUGUACAAGGCCUAAUGGGAGGUACCACAAUGUAGUGGUCAAAUCACAGACUUUGAGUCAGAUCGAUGUUCUAAUCCUUACCCUGCACAUUUUUUUUUAAACUAAUUUGCACAUAGUAAACCAUAUAAAUAUGUGCAAAUCCUCUCUAAAGUUCAUUUUCCACAUCUAUAAAAUGGAUUAAUAGUCUUACUUCACUGUGAGAAUUAAUGACAUAAAGCAUAGUACCUGGAACAUGGUAAGGACUCAAUAGAUGACAUGUAUAUUAUCAUUAUCAUCAUCAUCGUGGAGACAGCCAUGUGAAUUAACAAUUACAACAUUACAUGUGAUGCAAUGGAAUGUGAGAAGGUACUAGAAGAACUUAGUCUGGAAUGGUGAUGAGGAAGAUUUAUAAGAGGAGGGGAAUUGAUACCAAGCUGAGCCCAGAAAAAUAAAAAUAAGUAGCAGGAAGUCAGGCAUAGGAAGGACAUUCUAGGAAUACAGAGUAAUAGCAUGUACAAAAGCCCAGGGGCAAAAAAAAAAAAAAGAAAAGCAGGCACUUACAGGAAAUUGCUAGUAGUUGGAUCUUGGGAUAUAUAGGCAGGAGAGCUAUCAAAGAAAGGAGCGGCCAUGCAGUCAUCCUGGCAG
This is a non-coding RNA of Microcebus murinus (gray mouse lemur), 2176 nucleotides long. NCBI's taxonomy places the organism in Eukaryota, Metazoa, Chordata, Mammalia, Primates, Cheirogaleidae. The record is from RefSeq and is a predicted model, not a curated record.